This 433-nucleotide ribosomal RNA is filed under the name uncultured bacterium. RNAcentral describes it as "partial 16S ribosomal RNA". It matches the Rfam family "Bacterial small subunit ribosomal RNA", at positions 29 to 507 of the family's 1533-position model. The record is from RNAcentral.
AACGAACGCUGGCGGCAUGCCUAACACAUGCAAGUCGAACGAAACCUUCGGGUCUAUUCGCGCAUGGGUGCGUAACGCGUGGGAAUCUGCCCUCGGGUUCGGCAUAACUGUGAGAAAUUACUGCUAAUACCGGAUCAUGUCUUCUGACCAAGGAUAUAUUGCCCAGGGUUGUGCCCUCGUAGGAUUAGCUAGUGGUGUGGGUAAUGGCAUACUAAGGGGACGAUCCUUAGCUGGUCUGAGAGGAUGAUCAGACACACUGGGACUGGGACACGGCCCAGACUCCUACGGGAGGGAGCAGUGGGGGAUAUUGGAACACGGGCGCAGGCCUGAACCAGCAAGGCCGCGUGAGUGAUGAAGGCAGUAGGGUUGUAAAGCUCUUUUACCCGGGAUGAUAAUGACGGUACCGGGAGAAUAAGCUCCGGCUAACUCCGUG